This 69-nucleotide transfer RNA is filed under the name Eospalax rothschildi (Rothschild's zokor). RNAcentral describes it as "tRNA-Ala". It matches the Rfam family "tRNA". Rfam says of the family: Transfer RNA (tRNA) molecules are approximately 80 nucleotides in length. Their secondary structure includes four short double-helical elements and three loops (D, anti-codon, and T loops). Lineage: Eukaryota; Metazoa; Chordata; Mammalia; Rodentia; Spalacidae. The record is from RNAcentral.
GAGGAUUUAGCUUAAUAAAAGUGUUUGAUUUGCGUUCAAAAGAUGCAAGAUAGGUUCUUGUAAUCCUUA